UACGUAGGGUGCGAGCGUUGUCCGGAAUUACUGGGCGUAAAGAGCUCGUAGGUGGUUUGUCGCGUUGUUCGUGAAAACCGGGGGCUUAACCCUCGGCGUGCGGGCGAUACGGGCAGACUUGAGUACUGCAGGGGAGACUGGAAUUCCUGGUGUAGCGGUGGAAUGCGCAGAUAUCAGGAGGAACACCGGUGGCGAAGGCGGUUCUCUGGGCCUUACCUGACGCUGAGGAGCGAAAGCGUGGGGAGCAAACAGG
Molecule: ribosomal RNA, 253 nt
Filed under: uncultured bacterium
Lineage: Bacteria
Description: partial 16S ribosomal RNA
Rfam family: Bacterial small subunit ribosomal RNA
Source: RNAcentral